ACUUUUGAUAGUGAUGAUUUUUUUUUCCCCGUCAUAUCGAUGUAUGAAGAAAAAGCCAUAUAAAAAGCCAUUUUAACUGAAUCAAAAGU
Molecule: small nucleolar RNA, 89 nt
Organism: Biomphalaria glabrata
Lineage: Eukaryota; Metazoa; Mollusca; Gastropoda; Planorbidae
Product: small nucleolar SNORD12/SNORD106
Exons: 1
Source: RefSeq, a predicted model, not a curated record